AUUAGAAGACAUAACAGAAGAAAACUGUAAUAGUAACCCUUGUUGUGACUGUCAUCUCCCAGUUUAUACAGAUCUUCCAGAUCUUGAAUGGAAGUGAAAUUCAUAAUGAAGUAGUAUAUGUGCUCUGCCAGUGGAUGAAUGGGGAUGUGGCUAUGUGUAUCAGCUCUUUGUAUAGCUUGUGUCCUCCCACUUUGUGGCCCUUGAAUGCACCACAGAUGGAUUUCUCUGUUCCUAGAGCAAGGAUCAGCAGGAGUCUCUUUUUUUGAGUUGUCAACUAGCCAGGAAGGAUGGCAAGGGCAAUAUGAGAGAAUUUAAAAUUUCCAAAUUUUAGACUGUUUUGGAAACUGUAAGCCUUUGAUGCUUGUCUUCAGUAUAAUUCCUAAUUGUUGAUCUUCCAGAAUCGAUAAUGGUUGGGAAGAUAGCCAUGCACAAAUAGAAAUGCAUGUAUUAGUAUUAAAUACUUUUAAUAGAACCAAAAUGGCAGGAACACAGCUGGUAUUGUUACUGAAUUCAAUGAGCUAAAGCAAAGUUGUACAUGGGAUAAUCCUAGUCACCCAGAAAUCUUACUUUUUUGUGUUACUGGACAAAUCAUACAAAUAUAUUAAAGCUGUGCCUAAAUUAUAAAUAUGCUUUCUCCAUUUGUCUUAGGGUUCUGUCACUCUGCAAAGUGGAAAUUCCAUGAGUUUCUUCAUUGAGGUUGCUUGAUCUAUAGAAUAUUAAGAAGAAAUGGCCUAUACCUCAGCAUGCUCUGGAGAUGAUUAAUCAAUAGGUAUUUGAGUGCCUCCUUAAUAUACAAUAUUACUUCUCAUUGCUAAUCCUUCAGUCACUAUUGAAAUGUUUUUUUGAAACCUCUUAACUCCUCCAUUUGGUGGUGGGGUUAGGUAUCACCAAGCUCUACUAUUGUUUGAUCUGUGUUUAGUACAGCAGAGGAAUUAUCUACCAACACAGAUAGCUUAGUUACCCUUUGAACUAUUUUUGAUUUAUGGAUGGUGGCCCAAAGAUCUUUUCCUGGUUGUUUGUAUUCAAGU
Molecule: long non-coding RNA, 1028 nt
Filed under: Marmota monax (woodchuck)
Lineage: Eukaryota; Metazoa; Chordata; Mammalia; Rodentia; Sciuridae
Source: RNAcentral